AGUGAACGCUGGCGGUAGGCCUAACACAUGCAAGUCGAACGGCAGCACAGUAAGAGCUUGCUCUUACGGGUGGCGAGUGGCGGACGGGUGAGGAAUACAUCGGAAUCUACUUUUUCGUGGGGGAUAACGUAGGGAAACUUACGCUAAUACCGCAUACGCCCUACGGGUGAAAGCAGGGGAUCUUCGGACCUUGCGCGAUUGAAUGAGCCGAUGUCGGAUUAGCUAGUUGGCGGGGUAAAGGCCCACCAAGGCGACGAUCCGUAGCUGGUCUGAGAGGAUGAUCAGCCACACUGGAACUGAGACACGGUCCAGACUCCUACGGGAGGCAGCAGUGGGGAAUAUUGGACAAUGGGCGCAAGCCUGAUCCAGCCAUACCGCGUGGGUGAAGAAGGCCUUCGGGUUGUAAAGCCCUUUUGUUGGGAAAGAAAAGCAGCAGGUUAAUACCCCGCUGUUCUGACGGUACCCAAAGAAUAAGCACCGGCUAACUUCGU
Molecule: ribosomal RNA, 491 nt
Filed under: uncultured bacterium
Lineage: Bacteria
Description: partial 16S ribosomal RNA
Rfam family: Bacterial small subunit ribosomal RNA
Source: RNAcentral